RNAcentral lists this unclassified non-coding RNA (365 nucleotides) under Spizellomyces dolichospermus. RNAcentral's name for it is "partial internal transcribed spacer region". The stretch from base 1 to 46 matches the Rfam family "Eukaryotic small subunit ribosomal RNA", at positions 1786 to 1831 of the family's 1831-position model. Lineage: Eukaryota; Fungi; Chytridiomycota; Chytridiomycetes; Spizellomycetales; Spizellomycetaceae. The record is from RNAcentral.
AAGUCGUAACAAGGUAACCGUAUGUGAACCUGCGGUUGGAUCAUUAAAAAUUGAAACAGCCUCUCACUGGCUAGAUCGACAUUCACAACAGCACGUUCGUUUGUUCAUUUGUUCAUUCGUUCGUGUGUCUCUGUGGUGACUUUAGCAGUGAACGUUGGCACCACAUUUUGUGCACUGUAACGUCUUUGGUGGUUGGGCGGGUUUGUUCUUUUGUGACACUCUCGUCUGUCAGCUUGGAUUUUAUCCGAAUCCUCGCCGUGGACACGCCACCGUUUGUUUUUCAACUUCUGUCUUCAUAAAUUGUCUGACAUUUAUUUGUAUUGAAAAUAUACAAACAACUUUUGGCAACGGAUCUCUUGGUUCUC